UAGUGUUACAGCUCUUUUAGAAUUUGUCUAGCAGAUUUUCUGUUUUUUUACCAUGAAGGAAAUGUCAGU
Molecule: small nuclear RNA, 69 nt
Organism: Callithrix jacchus (white-tufted-ear marmoset)
Lineage: Eukaryota; Metazoa; Chordata; Mammalia; Primates; Cebidae
Gene: U7
Rfam family: U7 small nuclear RNA
About the family: Animal histone pre-mRNAs are spliced by a different mechanism than nuclear pre-mRNAs and self-splicing introns.
Source: Ensembl